Molecule: unclassified non-coding RNA, 276 nt
Filed under: Moritella viscosa
Lineage: Bacteria; Pseudomonadati; Pseudomonadota; Gammaproteobacteria; Alteromonadales; Moritellaceae
Description: putative sRNA
Source: RNAcentral
AUAAAAAACAAUAUAGAUACCUCUAAAUGUAUACCUUUUGUUAUAACGACCAAAAAAAGCGCUAUUUUAUAGAGCCUUAGCUCUACGUAAUUCAAAGUCUCAUAGUAAUAUUUCACAUAUUUGCAAACAGAUCAGAGGAGUUUUAUUUGAUUAUUAUUUAAUAUUUAUAAAAACAACAUUUAACCUUUAAUAACAAGCGGUUAACAAAUUGAUGUAAAUGAAAAGCAAGGUUUGUUAAGUCAUUGUUAAUCAUCAAAAGUAUUAUGAAAGUAGACA